Molecule: long non-coding RNA, 188 nt
Organism: Etheostoma cragini (Arkansas darter)
Lineage: Eukaryota; Metazoa; Chordata; Actinopteri; Perciformes; Percidae
Exons: 2
Source: RefSeq, a predicted model, not a curated record
GUUUAGGUAAAGAACAACGGGACAGUUGGGUUUAGGUAAAGAAUAACGGGACGGUUGGGUUUAGGAGAAGAAGAACGGGACAGUUGGGUUUAGGACAAGAAGAACGGGACAGUUGGGUUUAGGAGAAGAAGAACGGGACAGUUGGGUUUAGGUAGAGAAGAACGGGACAGACCAAGGUAGAGAAGAAG